This 775-nucleotide ribosomal RNA is filed under the name uncultured Neocallimastigales. Its description in RNAcentral is "partial large subunit ribosomal RNA". It matches the Rfam family "Eukaryotic large subunit ribosomal RNA", at positions 23 to 646 of the family's 3401-position model. The record is from RNAcentral. Lineage: Eukaryota; Fungi; Neocallimastigomycota; Neocallimastigomycetes; Neocallimastigales.
AGAGAGAGACAUGCGCGCAUAUCAAUAAGCGGAGGAAAAGAAACUAACAAGGAUUCCCCUAGUAACGGCGAGUGAAGCGGGAAGAGCUCAAAUUUGAAAUCUUAAAGGGUUUCCCUUUACGAAUUGGUAGUUUAAAGAAGUGUUUUCUGUUGAGGUUUUGGUAAAAGUUCUUUGGAAUAGGACAUCAUAGAGGGUGAGAAUCCCGUAUUUGACCUUUACUUUCAACUUUGUGAUACACUUUCAAAGAGUCGGAUUGUUUGGGAAUGCAGUCCAAAAUGGGUGGUAAAUUUCAUCUAAAGCUAAAUAUUGGCGUAGAGACCGAUAGCGAACAAGUACCGUGAGGGAAAGAUGAAAAGAACUUUGAAAAGAGAGUUAAACAGUACGUGAAAUUGUCAAAAGGGAAGCGUUUGACACCAGUGUUGUUUUUCUGAAAAUCAAUUAAAGAACUGUUUAUGCUAAGCUGUUUAGACUUUAUCAGCUAACUGUUUAGUUUUGAGCUUUUCUUUAAUGCACUUUUCAGUUAACAAGUCAACAUCAAUUUCUUUUGCUGUAAAAAAGCUUGAGGAAGGUGGCUUGAGAUUCGUCUUAAGUGUUUAUAGCCUCUUGCCUAUGCAGUCGGAGAGAUUGAGGUCUGCAGCGUAGAUCCUUCGGGGCUAAAUGCAUUUGUGCUAAGUUAUAGCAUUUUAUAGACAACUUGUUGACUAUGAUUUGUCUCGUAGCUUACUCGCUUAUGUUAUUUUACCUACGCUUAGGAUGUUGACGCAUGAGAUAUACG